AUCUUCCGCAAUGGACGCAAGUCUGACGGAGCAACGCCGCGUGAGUGAUGAAGGUCUUCGGAUCGUAAAACUCUGUUGUUAGGGAAGAACAAGUAUCGGAAUAAUACGUCGGUACCUUGACGGUACCUAACCAGAAAGCCCCGGCUAACUACGUGCCAGCAGCCGCGGUAAUACGUAGGGGGCAAGCGUUGUCCGGAAUUAUUGGGCGUAAAGGGCGCGCAGGCGGUUUUUUAAGUCUGAUGUGAAAUCUCGUGGCUUAACUACGAGCGGUCAUUGGAAACUGGAAGACUUGAGUGCAGAAGAGGAGAGUGGAAUUCCACGUGUAGCGGUGAAAUGCGUAGAGAUGUGGAGGAACACCAGUGGCGAAGGCGACUCUCUGGUCUGUAACUGACGCUGAGGCGCGAAAGCGUGGGUAGCGAACA
RNAcentral lists this ribosomal RNA (422 nucleotides) under uncultured bacterium. Its description in RNAcentral is "partial 16S ribosomal RNA". It matches the Rfam family "Bacterial small subunit ribosomal RNA", at positions 361 to 774 of the family's 1533-position model. The record is from RNAcentral.